This 468-nucleotide ribosomal RNA is filed under the name uncultured bacterium. RNAcentral describes it as "partial 16S ribosomal RNA". It matches the Rfam family "Bacterial small subunit ribosomal RNA", at positions 28 to 507 of the family's 1533-position model. The record is from RNAcentral.
GACGAACGCUGGCGGCGUGCUUAACACAUGCAAGUCGAACGGAAAGGCCCUGCUUUUGUGGGGUGCUCGAGUGGCGAACGGGUGAGUAACACGUGAGUAACCUGCCCUUGACUUUGUGAUAACUUCUGGAAACUGGGGCUAAUACCGGAUAGGAUCUCUUGCUGCAUGGUGGGGGAUGGAAAGUUUCGGCGGUUGGGGCUGGACUCGCGGCUUAUCCGCUUGUUGGUGGGGUAGUGGCUUGCCAAGGCUUUGACGGGUAGCCGGCCUUGGAGCGUGAACGGCCACAUUGGGACUGCGAGACGGCCCAGACUCCUACGGGAGGCAGCAGUGGGGAAUAUUGCACAAUGGGCGGAAGCCUGAUGCAGCAACGCCGCGUGCGGGAUGACGGCCUUCGGGUUGUAAACCGCUUUCGCCGGUGACGAAGCGUUAGUGACGGUAAUGGGUAAAGAAGCACCGGCUAACUACGUG